This 832-nucleotide ribosomal RNA is filed under the name uncultured Salegentibacter sp. Its description in RNAcentral is "bacterial SSU rRNA". It matches the Rfam family "Bacterial small subunit ribosomal RNA", at positions 43 to 865 of the family's 1533-position model. Lineage: Bacteria; Pseudomonadati; Bacteroidota; Flavobacteriia; Flavobacteriales; Flavobacteriaceae. The record is from RNAcentral.
CAGGCCUAACACAUGCAAGUCGAGGGGUAACAGGGAAGAGCUUGCUCUUUCGCUGACGACCGGCGCACGGGUGCGUAACGCGUAUACAACCUACCUUUUAGCGGGGAAUAGCCCAGGGAAACUUGGAUUAAUGCCCCAUAGUAUGGAGGUCUCACCUGAGACCAUCAUUAAACAUUUAUGGCCAUUAGAUGGGUAUGCGUCCUAUUAGUUAGUUGGUAAGGUAACGGCUUACCAAGGCAGCGAUAGGUAGGGGUCCUGAGAGGGAGAUCCCCCACACUGGUACUGAGACACGGACCAGACUCCUACGGGAGGCAGCAGUGAGGAAUAUUGGACAAUGGGCGAGAGCCUGAUCCAGCCAUGCCGCGUGCAGGAAGACUGCCCUAUGGGUUGUAAACUGCUUUUACAGAGGAAGAACCACCCCCACGUGUGGGGGUUUGACGGUACUCUGCGAAUAAGGAUCGGCUAACUCCGUGCCAGCAGCCGCGGUAAUACGGAGGAUCCAAGCGUUAUCCGGAAUCAUUGGGUUUAAAGGGUCCGUAGGCGGGCAGUUAAGUCAGUGGUGAAAGUCUUCCGCUCAACGGGAGAACUGCCAUUGAUACUGAUUGUCUUGAGUUAUUAUGAAGUGGUUAGAAUGAGUAGUGUAGCGGUGAAAUGCAUAGAUAUUACUCAGAAUACCGAUUGCGAAGGCAGAUCACUAAUAAUAUACUGACGCUGAUGGACGAAAGCGUAGGUAGCGAACAGGAUUAGAUACCCUGGUAGUCUACGCCGUAAACGAUGGUUACUAGCUGUUCGGAUCGAUUGAGAUCUGAGUGGUUAAGCGAAAGUGAUAAGU